Molecule: long non-coding RNA, 1069 nt
Filed under: Callithrix jacchus (white-tufted-ear marmoset)
Lineage: Eukaryota; Metazoa; Chordata; Mammalia; Primates; Cebidae
Description: lncRNA (ENSCJAG00000054313.2)
Source: RNAcentral
ACAUGAGUUACAUGGACUGAUGGAAGGAAAAAGUAUGUCCCUGAAGGAAAAUUAAGAAAAUGAGGUCAUGAGGCUGAGUGGGCAAUACAACAGCAGUUUACAACAGACCUCCGGUUACAAGCUGCCCAUGUGACCAGCCAGGACCUGCCUCCUCCCCAGCUGGAGAGCCUUGCCCAUCAGGAGUGACAGGAGAAUCAAUAGAACCGCAGAUACACAAGAAAUUCCCAGAAGCGGGUUCCCACCAACCAGAUGUUCCCACGCCUUUCUCAGACAGAUUAGUGUCCUAGCAACUGGAAAACGGGAAAACGAAGUCUGUUUCUCUCUGGGAAUAGACUGGACAAAAGACAUUUGUGUGCUGAGAACAUCCUUGGAGAGUUUUCCUGCCAGUCCUGUCUCAAGCUGACCCAUCUACCUGCGUCUUCCUGCCCAUUGUUGGCCCCUUGCACCUUGGAAGCAGGGACCUCAUCUAAGACAUCCUGGCACCUGCAGCCUGGCACACAGCACGGAGCUGGAUAAUGGGGCACUGAUGAAGAUUGAAGUGGAUCCAGGAUCAUCUGUUAAUGAUCACACGACUGACAGUGUGCUCAUUAGCAUACAGCGUGACAAGGCUGCCCCUGGGGAGAAAACCAGCUCAGGUGGCCCUCGGCUGACAGGAGCCUCCCAGGAGGAUGUCUGGGAAGUUGCGUUUUUCCUGUGGGAUGGUUGAAAAGCCUCUCUGGUAUGAUUCUUGUUCCAGAGCUCCCAUGGGGUCUGGCGAGGCUGGACUUUUCCUGAAACUUCCUCGUGCUUGGUUUCUCCCAAGAGCUCUCCUUCAAUAAACACUUGAGUAAGAGUCACUGUCUGAGGUUUUGCCUCCAGGGAACCUAAUCUAAGACAAUAUAUUUUAAAGAUAUGUCUUUUAUGUGAUGUAAGGCACUUCCAGAUUUGGACCCUGAAAACCUCCCAAACCCCAUCCUCCCUCCUGUUUCCCCUUCUAUUGGCUUCACGUGUAUGAUCGUGUUGAAACAGUGGGUCACAGAUGCGGGAAGCUGGAACCCUGAAUCCCUGCAUGGAGGGGGUGACUUUGGAC